Molecule: ribosomal RNA, 432 nt
Filed under: Salmonella enterica
Lineage: Bacteria; Pseudomonadati; Pseudomonadota; Gammaproteobacteria; Enterobacterales; Enterobacteriaceae
Also listed under: 1 other name
Description: partial 23S ribosomal RNA
Rfam family: Bacterial large subunit ribosomal RNA
Source: RNAcentral
CCGAACCGACUAAUGUUGAAAAAUUAGCGGAUGACCUGUGGCUGGGGGUGAAAGGCCAAUCAAACCGGGAGAUAGCUGGUUCUCCCCGAAAGCUAUUUAGGUAGCGCCUCGUGAAUUCAUCUCCGGGGGUAGAGCACUGUUUCGGCUAGGGGGCCAUCCCGGCUUACCAACCCGAUGCAAACUGCGAAUACCGGAGAAUGUUAUCACGGGAGACACACGGCGGGUGCUAACGUCCGUCGUGAAGAGGGAAACAACCCAGACCGCCAGCUAAGGUCCCAAAGUCAUGGUUAAGUGGGAAACGAUGUGGGAAGGCCCAGACAGCCAGGAUGUUGGCUUAGAAGCAGCCAUCAUUUAAAGAAAGCGUAAUAGCUCACUGGUCGAGUCGGCCUGCGCGGAAGAUGUAACGGGGCUAAACCAUGCACCGAAGCUGCG